CGCAGCCGCGGUAAUUCCAGCUCCAAUAGCGUAUAUUAAAGUUGUUGCAGUUAAAAAGCUCGUAGUUGAACUUCGGGAUUUGCCCAUUGGUCAGGCUUAACUGUCUGCACUGGUGUGACGAGUUCCUACCUUCUGAGGAAUCUCCAUGUCAUUCAGUUGGUGUGGGGGGAAAUCAGGACUGUUACUUUGAAAAAAUUAGAGUGCUUAAAGCAGGCAUCCGUCUGAAUACAUUAGCAUUGAAUAAUAAAAUAGGACGGUUUGGUUCUAUUUUGUUGGUUUCUAGGAUCACCGUAAUGAUUAAUAGGGAUAGUUGGGGGCAUUAGUAUUCAAUUGUCAGAGGUGAAAUUCUUGGAUUUAUUGAAGACUAACUACUGCGAAAGCAUUUGCCAAGGAUGUUUUCAUUAAUCAAGAACGAAAGUUAGGGGAUCGAAGACGAUCAGAUACCGUCGUAGUCUUAACCAUAAACUAUGCCGACUAGGGAUCGGAUGAUGUUAAUUUUUA
RNAcentral lists this ribosomal RNA (501 nucleotides) under uncultured Diversispora. RNAcentral's name for it is "SSU rRNA". It matches the Rfam family "Eukaryotic small subunit ribosomal RNA", at positions 569 to 1072 of the family's 1831-position model. The record is from RNAcentral. Lineage: Eukaryota; Fungi; Glomeromycota; Glomeromycetes; Diversisporales; Diversisporaceae.